Molecule: ribosomal RNA, 443 nt
Filed under: uncultured marine eukaryote
Lineage: Eukaryota
Description: partial 18S ribosomal RNA
Rfam family: Eukaryotic small subunit ribosomal RNA
Source: RNAcentral
UUGGAUAGUCCCUUACUACUUGGAUACCGUAGUAAUUCUAGAGCUAAUACAUGCAUCAAUACCCGACUUUUUUGGAAGGGUAGUAUUUUUUAAAUUUAAACCAACCCACUUUGGUCGUGGUUUGGUGAUUCAUAAUAAAAACCGAGCUCGCCCGAUGUCUCCCGCUGGUGGAUAAUUCAUCUUUCUGCCGAAUCAUCUUUUGAUGGCAGUGUAUUGGACGCCCAUGGGGUUAACGGGUAACGAAUUAUAAUGGGGGUAUUUCUCAGAAGGAGCCUCAGAAAAAGCUACCACAUCCUAGGAGGGAGGCAGGCGCGCAAAUUACCCCCCCCUGACACACGGGGGAAGUGACAAUAAAAAACAAUGCGCGGCCCCUACUGGUCUGUGAAUUGGAAAGAAAACAAUUUAAAACCCCUUUACAAGAUCAAUUGGGGGGGAAAUCUGGG